This 447-nucleotide ribosomal RNA is filed under the name uncultured bacterium. Its description in RNAcentral is "partial 16S ribosomal RNA". It matches the Rfam family "Bacterial small subunit ribosomal RNA", at positions 355 to 791 of the family's 1533-position model. The record is from RNAcentral.
UGGGGAAUCUUCCGCAAUGGACGAAGUCUGACGGAGCAACGCCGCGUGUAUGAUGAAGGUCUUCGGAUUGUAAAGUACUGUCAUUGGGGAAGAACGGUUUUCUUGAAAAGAUUGAGAAGACAUGACGGUACCCAAGGAGGAAGCCCCGGCUAACUACGUGCCAGCAGCCGCGGUAAUACGUAGGGGGCAAGCGUUGUCCGGAAUUAUUGGGCGUAAAGGGCGCGUAGGCGGGCCUUUAAGUCCGGUGUGAAAGAUCAGGGCUCAACCCUGAGAGUGCAUCGGAAACUGGAGGCCUUGAGGACAGGAGAGGAAAGUGGAAUUCCACGUGUAGCGGUGAAAUGCGUAGAUAUGUGGAGGAACACCAGUGGCGAAAGGCGACUUUCUGGACUGUAACUGACGCUGAGGCGCGAAAGCGUGGGGAAGCAAAACAGGAUUAGAUACCCUGGU